GAUGAACGCUGGCGGCGUGCCUAAUACAUGCAAGUCGAGCGAACGGACGAGAAGCUUGCUUCUCUGAUGUUAGCGGCGGACGGGUGAGUAACACGUGGAUAACCUACCUAUAAGACUGGGAUAACUUCGGGAAACCGUAGCUAAUACCGGAUAAUAUUUUGAACCGCAUGGUUCAAAAGUGAAAGACGGUCUUGCUGUCACUUAUAGAUGGAUCCGCGCUGCAUUAGCUAGUUGGUAAGGUAACGGCUUACCAAGGCAACGAUGCAUAGCCGACCUGAGAGGGUGAGCGGCCACACUGGAACUGAGCCACGGUCCAGACCCCUACGGGAGGCAGCAGAAGGGAAUCUCCCGCAAGGGGAGAAAGCCGGACGGAGCAACGCCGCGGGAGUGAUGAAGGUCUUCGGAUCGUAAACCUUUGUUAUGAGGGAAGAACAUAUGUGUAAGAAACUGUGCACAUCUUGACGGUACCUAAUAAGAAAGCCACGGCUAACUACGUG
This 497-nucleotide ribosomal RNA is filed under the name uncultured bacterium. Its description in RNAcentral is "partial 16S ribosomal RNA". It matches the Rfam family "Bacterial small subunit ribosomal RNA", at positions 28 to 507 of the family's 1533-position model. The record is from RNAcentral.